Molecule: ribosomal RNA, 1430 nt
Filed under: Pectobacterium versatile
Lineage: Bacteria; Pseudomonadati; Pseudomonadota; Gammaproteobacteria; Enterobacterales; Pectobacteriaceae
Description: 16S ribosomal RNA
Rfam family: Bacterial small subunit ribosomal RNA
Source: RNAcentral
AAAUUGAAGAGUUUGAUCAUGGUUCGAUUGAACGCUGGCGGCAGGCCCACUUUGCAAGUCGAGGGUAGCAAAAGAGUUGCCUUUUGACAAAGGGGACGGGGGGAGAAAGUCGGGGAAACCCGCCUGAUGGGGGGGGGGAUAACUACUAAAGGUAGCUAAUACCGAAAAACCUCGAAAGAGAAAAGGGGGGAAAUUUGGGCCUUUCCCCCAUCAGAUGUGUCCAGAUGGGAUUAGCUAAGAGGUGAGGAAAGGCUCCCCUGGGGCGACGACCCCCUGUUUGGUCUGAGAGGAUGCCCAAAGCCACCCCGGAACUGAGACACGGUCCAGACUCCGGGAGGCAGCAGUGGGGAAUAUUGCAAAAUGGGCGAACCCCGAUGCACCCCGGCCGGGGUGAAGGGUUUCCGGGUUUUAAAAGAAAUUUUCAGCGAGGAGGAAGGCGGUAAGGUUAAAAACCCCAUCGAUUGACGUUCCCGCAGAAGAAGCCCCGGCCCAACCCCCGGCCAGCAGCCGCGGUAAUACAGGGAAGCAAUCGGGUUUCUGGGCGCACGCAGGGGGGUCUGGGGUUGGAGGGAAAACCCCGGGGCUUAACCGGGGAACCCGCAUUCAAAACUGACAGGUUGAGUUUUGAGAGGGGAAACGGUAGGGGUAAAAGCAAAAUUCGGAAAUACCGGUGGCGAAGGGGGCCCCCUUUGGACAAAGAUUUUCCCGGGGGAAAGGGGGGAGCAAACGGGAAUCCCCCUAUUUCCAGCUUAAACGAUUUGAUUUAAGGUGCCUUGAGGCGGGUUUCCCGGGAGAAGGGGUUAAAUCGCCCGGCCCGGGGAUACGGCCGGGUUUAAAAAAUUUAAAAUAAAUUUGGGACCCCCGGGGGUAUUUGGGGGUUUUUGAGGGCCGCGAAAAACCCCAAAAUUUAAACCCCAAACAGAAUUCGGUAGGGGAACCCGGUUAAAGGAACGGGUGAAAAGGGGGCCCAAAUGGCUGCCCAGCCUGUUUUUGAAAUUUUGGGGUUGCCCCGAACGAGGAAACCCCUUUACCCUUUUGUUGCCAGGAUUGGUGGGGAAAACUAAAAGGAGACCCCCGGGGUGAUGGGGGGAAGGUGGGAAAAGACGUCAAGUCACCCGGGCCCCUGAGGGGGCAAAGGGCUACAAUGGGGGGUUCAAAGAAAGGGCCCCCGGAGAAAAAGGGGACCUCAAAAGAGCCGUAGCCGUUUGGGAAGCCUGCAACCGACCCCCGAAGUCGGAACGUUGGUAAUCGUAGAUCAGAAUGCCGGGGGAAUACUUUCCCCGGCCUUCGGACCGCCCGUCACACCAGGGGGGUUGAAAAAGAAGUAGGUAAAAAAACCUUCGGAGGGCGUUUACCUUUUUGUGAUUCAUGACGGGUUGGUGGGCAAAAGGGAAAAUUGGGGAAAAACCCAGGGGUUGAUCCCUUUCCCG